Molecule: long non-coding RNA, 783 nt
Organism: Ahaetulla prasina
Lineage: Eukaryota; Metazoa; Chordata; Lepidosauria; Squamata; Colubridae
Exons: 3
Source: RefSeq, a predicted model, not a curated record
AAUUAAAAUAACAUGCAAUGCAAUAAGUUUCCCUUUUACAAUUUAAUUGCUUCCAGCAAUUGGUAAGAGAUUCAGAUGCACAAGAAAACAAAGAAGAGAAAGGGGAAUAGACAUCAUCUGAGCAAAAGUCAAAAGUCACAGGUUUAAAAACAAACAGUUUUUUGUUCUAGGGAAUGAUAAAGAACGAUUAAGUAAUAAAGAUAACAAAGAGCAAGAACAGUUACAGAGAAUAGAAGGAAAGGACUGCAGAAGCUGUCAGAAGAGAAUAAAGUGGCCCAGGGAUGAAGUUACACAGGAAGGGAGCCACCAUGGAGAAGGCCCUUCUCCAGAUGGAUCUUCUUAGGAGCAUCCCCUGUUUCCCAGCUCUGCUGGAUCAGGGUGAAGAAAUUAAGUGCUAUUUUUAGCAACCGAAACUGCAAUGAUUUGAAACUGCAAGAGUAAAAAUGAAUGAAACUCAAAGUAAUAUAUUUAUAAUUUGUCUUUAUUGUAAUAGUUUUUUCUUCUAAGACAAAUCUAUCCCUGUUGGACAAAAUAUUGUGUGCUGACUGGUUUAAGAAUAUAUAGUAUAUUUUAUAUAUAGUAAGAAUAUAUAGUAUAUAGUAUAAUAUUUUCAUUAAUAAUAUUUUAGAGAGACUCUCUUUUUAUUCCAUCUAUAAAAUCACCUUAUGUAGCAAUUUGUUAAGUCAGAAUUUUUUCCUGCUGGCCCUUAGUGGAUUAAAUAUUCAGGAACUCAUUUUCGUGUAAAUAUCACUUUUCCUUAAGGAAAAAUUUCCAUUUCAAGAA